This is a transfer RNA of Pseudogymnoascus sp. 23342-1-I1, 106 nucleotides long. It matches the Rfam family "tRNA". From Rfam's summary of the family: Transfer RNA (tRNA) molecules are approximately 80 nucleotides in length. Their secondary structure includes four short double-helical elements and three loops (D, anti-codon, and T loops). The record is from Rfam. Lineage: Eukaryota; Fungi; Ascomycota; Leotiomycetes; Thelebolales; Thelebolaceae.
GCCCUGCUGGCACAAUUGGUUAGCGCGUGGGCCUUUUAUGCAGAUGAUUCAAUUCUUCAGCUAAAAGACAAGCCCAAGGUUCAGGGUUCGAGACCCUGGUGGGGCG